Molecule: transfer RNA, 72 nt
Filed under: Pangasianodon gigas (Mekong giant catfish)
Lineage: Eukaryota; Metazoa; Chordata; Actinopteri; Siluriformes; Pangasiidae
Description: tRNA-Glu
Source: RNAcentral
UCCCUGGAGGACUAGGGGUUAGGCAACAGUGCUCUCAUCGCCGCAGAGCGGGUUCGAUUCCCGGCCAGGGAA